GAUGAACGCUGGCGGCGUGCUUAACACAUGCAAGUCGAACGGAAAGGCCCAAGCUUGCUUGGGUACUCGAGUGGCGAACGGGUGAGUAACACGUGGGUGAUCUGCACUGCACUUCGGGAUAAGCCUGGGAAACUGGGUCUAAUACCGGAUAGGACGAUGGUUUGGAUGCCAUUGUGGAAAGUUUUUUCGGUGUGGGAUGAGCUCGCGGCCUAUCAGCUUGUUGGUGGGGUAAUGGCCUACCAAGGCGUCGACGGGUAGCCGGCCUGAGAGGGUGUACGGCCACAUUGGGACUGAGAUACGGCCCAGACUCCUACGGGAGGCAGCAGUGGGGAAUAUUGCACAAUGGGCGCAAGCCUGAUGCAGCGACGCCGCGUGGGGGAUGACGGCCUUCGGGUUGUAAACUCCUUUCGCUAGGGACGAAGCGUUUUUGUGACGGUACCUGGAGAAGAAGCACCGGCUAACUACGUG
This 468-nucleotide ribosomal RNA is filed under the name uncultured bacterium. RNAcentral describes it as "partial 16S ribosomal RNA". It matches the Rfam family "Bacterial small subunit ribosomal RNA", at positions 28 to 507 of the family's 1533-position model. The record is from RNAcentral.